CCCCAGCGCCACAAGUGGUUAUCACGAUUAUUGGGCCUAAAGCGUUCGUAGCCGGUUUGGUAAAUCUCUUGUGAAAUUGUUCGGCUUAACCGGACAGCGUGCAGGAGACACUGCCAGACUCGAGACCGGGAGGCGUAAGAAGUAUUCCAUGGGGACUGGUAAAAUGGGAUAAUCCAUGGAAGACUACCGAUGGCGAAGGCAUCUUACGAGAACGGAUCUGACGGUGAGGAACGAAAGCCAGGGGAGCGAACCGG
This 254-nucleotide ribosomal RNA is filed under the name uncultured bacterium. Its description in RNAcentral is "partial 16S ribosomal RNA". It matches the Rfam family "Archaeal small subunit ribosomal RNA", at positions 474 to 727 of the family's 1478-position model. The record is from RNAcentral.